Molecule: ribosomal RNA, 506 nt
Filed under: uncultured bacterium
Lineage: Bacteria
Description: partial 16S ribosomal RNA
Rfam family: Bacterial small subunit ribosomal RNA
Source: RNAcentral
AGUGAACGCUGGCGGUAGGCCUAACACAUGCAAGUCGAACGGCAGCACAGGAGAGCUUGCUCUCUGGGUGGCGAGUGGCGGACGGGUGAGGAAUACAUCGGAAUCUACUCCGUCGUGGGGGAUAACGUAGGGAAACUUACGCUAAUACCGCAUACGACCUACGGGUGAAAGCAGGGGACCUUCGGGCCUUGCGCGAUUGCAUGAGCCGAUGUCGGAUUAGCUAGUUGGCGGGGUAAAGGCCCACCAAGGCGACGAUCCGUAGCUGGUCUGAGAGGAUGAUCAGCCACACUGGAACUGGGACACGGUCCAGACUCCUACGGGAGGCAGCAGUGGGGAAUAUUGGACAAUGGGCGCAAGCCUGAUCCAGCCAUACCGCGUGGGUGAAGAAGGCCUUCGGGUUGUAAAGCCCUUUUGUUGGGAAAGAAAUCCAGCUGGCUAAUACCCGGUUGGGAUGACGGUACCCAAAGAAUAAGCACCGGCUAACUUCGUGCCAGCCGCCGCCGUAA